This 362-nucleotide unclassified non-coding RNA is filed under the name soil metagenome. Its description in RNAcentral is "partial contains 5.8S ribosomal RNA, internal transcribed spacer 2, and large subunit ribosomal RNA". The stretch from base 1 to 120 matches the Rfam family "5.8S ribosomal RNA", at positions 35 to 154 of the family's 154-position model. The record is from RNAcentral.
GAUGAAGAACGUAGCGAAAUGCGAUAAGUAAUGUGAAUUGCAGAAUUCAGUGAAUCAUCGAAUCUUUGAACGCACCUUGCGCUCCUUGGUAUUCCGAGGAGCAUGCCUGUUUGAGUGUCAUUAAUAUAUCAACCUUCUCUUUUUUGAGUUGUUUGGAUGUGGGGGUUUGCUGGCCUCUUAAAUGAUUCAGCUCCCCUGAAAUGCAUUAGCAGAACAACCUGUUCAUUAGCGUGAUAAUUAUCUAUGCUAUUGAAUGUGAGGGCAGUUCAGCUUUCUAACCGUCCUUGGACAAUUCAUCAUUAAUGUGACCUCAAAUCAGGUAGGACUACCCGCUGAACUUAAGCAUAUCAACAAGCGGAGGA